GGGUUGUGAGGUUAAGCGACUAAGCGUACACGGUGGAUGCCCUGGCAGUCAGAGGCGAUGAAGGGCGUGCUAAUCUGCGAUAAGCGCCGGUAAGGUGAUAUGAACCGUUAUAACCGGCGAUACCCGAAUGGGGAAACCCAGUGUGAUUCGUCACACUAUCAUUAACUGAAUCCAUAGGUUAAUGAGGCGAACCGGGGGAACUGAAACAUCUAAGUACCCCGAGGAAAAGAAAUCAACCGAGAUUCCCCCAGUAGCGGCGAGCGAACGGGGAGGAGCCCAGAGCCUGAAUCAGCAUGUGUGUUAGUGGAAGCGUCUGGAAAGGUGCGCGAUACAGGGUGACAGCCCCGUACACAAAAGCGCAUGUGCUGUGAGCUCGAUGAGUAGGGCGGGACACGUGGUAUCCUGUCUGAAUAUGGGGGGACCAUCCUCCAAGGCUAAAUACUCCUGACUGACCGAUAGUGAACCAGUACCGUGAGGGAAAGGCGAAAAGAACCCCGGCGAGGGGAGUGAAAAAGAACCUGAAACCGUGUACGUACAAGCAGUGGGAGCACAGGUUUACCUGUGUGACUGCGUACCUUUUGUAUAAUGGGUCAGCGACUUAUAUUCUGUAGCAAGGUUAACCGAAUAGGGGAGCCGGAGGGAAACCGAGUCUUAAUUGGGCGUUAAGUUGCAGGGUAUAGACCCGAAACCCGGUGAUCUAGCCAUGGGCAGGUUGAAGGUUGGGUAACACUAAC
RNAcentral lists this ribosomal RNA (734 nucleotides) under Salmonella enterica. Its description in RNAcentral is "partial 23S ribosomal RNA". It matches the Rfam family "Bacterial large subunit ribosomal RNA", at positions 1 to 766 of the family's 2925-position model. Lineage: Bacteria; Pseudomonadati; Pseudomonadota; Gammaproteobacteria; Enterobacterales; Enterobacteriaceae. The record is from RNAcentral.